Molecule: ribosomal RNA, 418 nt
Filed under: uncultured bacterium
Lineage: Bacteria
Description: bacterial SSU rRNA
Rfam family: Bacterial small subunit ribosomal RNA
Source: RNAcentral
AUAUUGGUCAAUGAGCGGAAGCUUGAACCAGCCAUGCCGCGUGCAGGACGACUGCCCUAUGGGUUGUAAACUGCUUUUAUACGGGAAUAAACCCCUCUACGUGUAGGGGGCUGAAUGUACUGUAAGAAUAAGGAUCGGCUAACUCCGUGCCAGCAGCCGCGGUAAUACGGAGGAUCCGAGCGUUAUCCGGAUUUAUUGGGUUUAAAGGGUGCGUAGGCGGCACUUUAAGUCAGGGGUGAAAGACGGCAGCUUAACUGUCGCAGUGCCUUUGAUACUGAAGUGCUUGAAUGCGGUUGAAGACGGCGGAAUGAGACAAGUAGCGGUGAAAUGCAUAGAUAUGUCUCAGAACACCGAUUGCGAAGGCAGCUGUCUAAGCCGUUAUUGACGCUGAUGCACGAAAGCGUGGGGAUCGAACAGG